Molecule: ribosomal RNA, 687 nt
Filed under: uncultured Pseudomonas sp.
Lineage: Bacteria; Pseudomonadati; Pseudomonadota; Gammaproteobacteria; Pseudomonadales; Pseudomonadaceae
Description: bacterial SSU rRNA
Rfam family: Bacterial small subunit ribosomal RNA
Source: RNAcentral
AGGAAUCUGCCUGGUAGUGGGGGAUAACGCUCGGAAACGGACGCUAAUACCGCAUACGUCCUACGGGAGAAAGCAGGGGACCUUCGGGCCUUGCGCUAUCAGAUGAGCCUAGGUCGGAUUAGCUAGUUGGUGAGGUAAUGGCUCACCAAGGCGACGAUCCGUAACUGGUCUGAGAGGAUGAUCAGUCACACUGGAACUGAGACACGGUCCAGACUCCUGCGGGAGGCAGCAGUGGGGAAUAUUGGACAAUGGGCGAAAGCCUGAUCCAGCCAUGCCGCGUGUGUGAAGAAGGUCUUCGGAUUGUAAAGCACUUUAAGUUGGGAGGAAGGGCAGUUACCUAAUACGUAAUUGUUUUGACGUUACCGACAGAAUAAGCACCGGCUAACUCUGUGCCAGCAGCCGCGGUAAUACAGAGGGUGCAAGCGUUAAUCGGAAUUACUGGGCGUAAAGCGCGCGUAGGUGGUUCGUUAAGUUGGAUGUGAAAUCCCCGGGCUCAACCUGGGAACUGCAUUCAAAACUGACGAGCUAGAGUAUGGUAGAGGGUGGUGGAAUUUCCUGUGUAGCGGUGAAAUGCGUAGAUAUAGGAAGGAACACCAGUGGCGAAGGCGACCACCUGGACUGAUACUGACACUGAGGUGCGAAAGCGUGGGGAGCAACAGGAUUAGAUACCCUGGUAGUCCACGCCGU